UUGAAAGGGAAACGAUUGAAGUAGUGUANGAGAGAAAUAGUUUUGAAUGUGAUUUGUGGGGUAUGAGAUUAAUUGUUUGAAUAUGUGUAUUUUUUUGGUGUAUUUUUGUAUGGUAGGUAAANGUAGGUUUAAGUUGGAAUAAAAUAAAAGGAGGAAUGUAAGUUGGUUGGUGGAAUUGUAAUAGUUUUGGUAAAUGUGGUGAUUAGGAUUGAGGAUUGAAGAAUACUUUANAGGUAUUGUUGAGUUGAAAGUUAUUAGGUGUGAAAGUGUGANGGGUAUUUAAGUUGAAGUGAAUAGGUAGAGUGUGAUAAAANNCGUUAAGGAUGUUGACGUA
RNAcentral lists this ribosomal RNA (334 nucleotides) under uncultured Glomeromycotina. RNAcentral describes it as "LSU rRNA". The record is from RNAcentral. Lineage: Eukaryota; Fungi; Glomeromycota.